Molecule: long non-coding RNA, 4474 nt
Filed under: Marmota monax (woodchuck)
Lineage: Eukaryota; Metazoa; Chordata; Mammalia; Rodentia; Sciuridae
Source: RNAcentral
UUUUGUAACAUCCUAAUUGUCAAAGCAGUAGUCUGUGAAGGAUUGAGACUGGGAGGGAAAGAAUAUGGGAUGGAAAGAGUGUGCAGAAAACACAAAUGGGUAUCCUCAUGGGGUUUUAUUUAUUUAGAAAUAAAAUUUGAAAACUAACCAAGAAAAUAUGAUUCUAUUUUAUUUUUAUUUGUAUUUUUUUCAAGUGAUGGAGUCUUGCUAUGUUGCCCAGGCUGGCCCUGAACUCCUGAGCUCAAGUAAUCCUCCUGCCUCAGCUUCUCCUGAAGCUUGAAAUACGGGUGUAUACCACUGUGCCUGGCUGAGAAUUUCAUUUUGUUUGUAGUGUUUUUUGGACUUUUCUAGUGUUGUUAUCAAAUUAAGUGUACAUAGAGUUGUGGGGGGCAGAAUUCAAAACUUAUCUUCAGGUACAAGGUGACUUUCAUUUGCGGUCAGCUCUCUUGGAGAUGGCCUUUCUCUGUGGUCUCCGUGCAAGCCUGCCUCCAGACUUAAAGGACAUAUGACUUUCUUCUCCCAAAGGUUCAGCAAUUUGUGCUCAUGCAGAGUAGUGGGUUAUUGCAGCAUGAAAUUAAACAAUAAUUGUAAUUGUACUUUCUUCCCUAAGGACCUUAAAUACUGGAGAUAUUCUUUGAAUGCAUUUAUUCAGACUUGCCCAUGGCCACUUGUGCACUUGAGCAGGGCAAGUAACAAUUUAAAGAGAGCUAAUUUCAGCCUGUGAACAUUUAGGGGCCACGUGGGCUAAUGAAACUGAUUUGUAGACUUGUCCAGAGACAUUCACAGACUCAUUUGUAGGCAUCUCCUUUGCAUAGUUCAGGAACCCUUUAGUUUAAUUGAUCCAGAAUAACACAAACACAGUUAAAUCUUGUAUUUGUGGUGUGAUCACAUAGCUAAUUAAAAAAAAACAACCUCUGUUAAUUUAGCUUUAGGCAUAUACAGUGAAUAACUUACAUGCAUAUCUUAUGUUUAUUUUUCAAGGAAAAUCAUUAGGGGGAUAAAUUCCUGUAUUAGUCGAAGUGGGGAUCAGAUGUUACUGAUACAGUAUGUAUAUGUAAAUAUCAAAUAUAUGUACAUAUAAAAUUUGUUUGCUUGUUUCACAUACUUUUUCCUUUCUUUGAUCAUUGAAAGAUUUUAAAGCAGAAUUAUCUAUAUAAUUUUGUUUUUUUUCCCUAAACAGGUUGAGAAGUUCAAAUGGAGCUGACAGUAAGCUUGUAUAUUUAAACAUUUUAUUUUUAUUUUUGUCUUAUGAAUGGUGAGGUUCAGUGUCCUGCUGAGACUUUUGUAGUUCUUUAAUUAGUAUUUAUAAUUUUUGUCUAGUAUACAAAGUAGAACAUUCAGUAUAAAGAUAGAAAGUUGAGUAUCUUUCUCCAAAUAAAUCAGGGCUGAUAUGUGAUCUGUUCUUUUCCAAUUACCUCUUUGACUGUGAUUUUACUGUUUCCUUUAUGAGUGUGGGGAUACCCUCUGACUUCAUUUUGACUUGUCAACAACUUUGUCAUUUUUCUACGCUUUGCUCAUUAAGAGCAAACCAUUCGGAAGAGUAUAUGUGAAUGCCUUUUCCUGUGCAGUUUCAAUAGCACUUUAUGCCCCAAAUUGCUAAAUAGUGUUAAGUCUUAUAACCAGAAGCCUUAUCUGUUUGCUCCUUCUCUCCUGCGUAGGCUAGUACCUGGCAUACAAUAGGUGCUUAGUAAGCGUGUGUUGAAUAAACAAGAAUAAGGUUUCACAGCUUCUUAAGUGGUGAAGUCCUGCUUGACUCAGCUUUAUCACACUCUUCAGAUAUUUACACCUUCAGAUAUUUACACCCCCAUGAAGGUCUUCCCUCCAGGUAGAAUUAAUGUGGUCCCAAAACCUUGGUACACACACCUCUGUUAUAUUACUUAGCAAACUGUAUUGUGAUUCUAGUUAUGUAUCUUUUUCUCUAGUAUGUUGCAUAUACUUUUCUCUUAUUCCUAUCUCCCUUGCCUAGCAAGACCCGGAGUGGGUGCUGAAUAUAUAUGUAUUUGCUUAUUGAAUGAAUUCAGAAAGGAAUAGUCUUUUCUGCUGAUUUUACUAUUUUAUCAUACACCCCCAAAGGAAGUGAUGCCUGCUCCUUUCUUCUCCAGCAACAAGAAGCCAGUGAGAUCUGUGAGACUGGGCUCAUUAUGCUGCUUACUCUACUAGGUAUAAGGAAGUUGCCACCAUGAGACUAAAGUUUCUCCACUUUAAUUUUGAUUUUAUGAAAUGGCAAAACUGUUGCAGAGUCUUUCUCUGGAGCCUUGUAAUUUAGCCUGGAGCAGAUAGAAGAGAAUGAGUUAAACUUGGAGGGGUGUUCCCAGCACACAGAAGUUGCUUCUCCAAGCAAAUCCCUUGGUGCUGUUAUCCACCCACUCCUUUGUUUCUGGUAUAUACCCCUUAAUGUGUUUUCAUCAUUUUGCUCUUAUUUUAGGUCAGUGAAGUAGUCUGCUAAUAACUUGGCAUUAAUAAUAUCUUUCUGUGGAUACUGUGUCUUGGUAGGGAGCUCAGAGAAUCGUGCUUCUGGGAUGUUGUGAAGUGUGAUGGGCAGCUGAGUGCUUUUUGCAACCCUGAGGUGUAAUUGGUUCAGAGGAAAUACAUCUUUGAGGCUAAUAUUACCUGUCUUUCUCCAAUUCCCUAUAUAAAUAUGUUUGGAGAUAUUACAUUGAUGAUUGGAAGCUGUCAGGGUACCAUGUGCAAUAAUGUGGUUAAAGGAUAUUAGGUAAGCUUUUUCAAAUCCAGAGAAGCCAUUCUGAUUAACCUGUUCAAUAAUAACUUUGAAGUCAAUAUAUUCAUAAGCAUGUAUUUAUCUCCAGCCCAGUAAUUAAAAUGCCAAUCUUCUCUAUAAUUUCAGAGAUCUCAGCCUCCUUAAAAAGCCCUCAAGAGCCUCACCAUCAUUACUCAGGUAGGAAGUGUGUGUGCAUAGAAGGUCAUCUGAACUCAAUGUCUGUGAUUCUGCACUUGGAAAAAGAAACAUCGGGGAAUUCCAUGUUAUUGAUAUAGCUCCAAACUUGGAAAAUUGUUCACUUUGUUGGAGAACAACCUUUAAGUUUUUUUUCUAGGCAUUGACUUGGAAAGGCAAAUUGUGAGGAAUUAAGAGGAUAUAGAUUCAAAGUUUUUAUUGGCAAGUUCCAAAUUGUGAAGGAGCAGGAUGUUCUGGAGGUCUACAGAUUCCUUGCAUACUCCAAGGCAACCUAGAGCCAGAGAUCUUUUGUAUUUUAUAUCGAGGGAAAGACAGACCUGGAAGUAGUUCUUUGAGGGAGGGUUUUUUACCCUCCAUGGGCCCUCAAUAAACAUAUCCACAGAAUAGAUGCCACCUCACCUAGAAAGUUUAACAAAGAUGCCUUACACAUAUAUUAUUAAAAAAAGAUGUCCAGGGUCUUGACUCUCUUAAGCAAUAUCACAUCAUAGUGCUUCAGCUGUCUUUCUUUCAAAGGGGGAAUAACUGUACUUGCUUUUCCUGAGGAACAGUCUGCCAAAGGGCUGGGGGAGAACUAAGAGGAAAACACUUUGAAAUGCAAAACAAUAGAACAACCAACUGGACUUGUGCCACUGGAUGGUUUCUUGGAGGUCACUGCUCUCAACCUAUAUGACAUAAUACACGGGUCAGCCAAUCUUUUAUACAAUCUAAAGCUCAGUACGUGGGCAAGACCUUGUGCUAGAGUUACCAUUCUUAUUAUAAUCAAGGUCAUUUUUUAGGGUCCAGUAAUAGACUGCCUCAUCCUGAAUUCUCCUCUGUAGUGAAUAAUGUGUUAGUGGAUUCCUCAUCCCAGGCUCUUAUAACCAGGUCUCUCAGCUCAGCAGUCAUCCAUUAUUUUGACUCCAGCUGUCAACUGAAGAAAGUCUCUGGUGAGGAAUACUGCAACUCAUAUUGACUCAGAUCUGCUAGGAUAUGGCUCUUCCCAGGAAAAUGCAGAUCUCUUGCUUCUAAUUAAAAUGAGUCUUCACAUCUCUCUGGGAAAAGGAGUGAAUUGCACAAAAUCACCAGUAGGUGUCCCCACAGUCCACUGUGCAUUGGAUUUGCUUUAGAAAAGGAAAACCAGAGAAUGAAGACCACAAAUUAAAAUGCCAUUUAAAAGACAGUUCCACGUAUGUAUGGGUUGGUGUGUGGUUUGCCAUUCAGGAGAGCAGGGGACAUAGUCCUUCCUUGAACCAUGUCAUAUAACCUCAUAUAAAAUGUUCCUAAGGCUGGGAUUAUUAUUGGCAUUUAAGGCAUAGUAUAUAUUUAAAAAUGGUAUAAUUUAUCAUAUAUUGAUAAUGGCAAAAAUAAAAGGCCUUUGAAAUGAAAUAUUCUCGCAUUAUUUGAUUAUAUUGAUGGGGGAAGAUUUUCUGUAAAUUUAAUCCAAUGUUUCAGACUUAAAAGGGUAAAACUGUUUUUGUUUGCAGCCAUUGAAAGGAAUAAUUUAAUGAGGCUGUCUCAGACCAUACCGUUUACACCCAUCCAACUGUUUGGUGAGUAGCAUCUCUACCUUCUUGAGGUCAC